RNAcentral lists this ribosomal RNA (438 nucleotides) under uncultured bacterium. RNAcentral's name for it is "bacterial SSU rRNA". It matches the Rfam family "Bacterial small subunit ribosomal RNA", at positions 39 to 478 of the family's 1533-position model. The record is from RNAcentral.
GGCCGCGGGAAUUCGAUUCAGGCCUAACACAUGCAAGUCGAACGGAAAGGCCCUGCUUGCAGGGUACUCGAGUGGCGAACGGGUGAGUAACACGUGGGUGAUCUGCCCUGCACUUCGGGAUAAGCCUGGGAAACUGGGUCUAACACCGGAUAGGACCAUCGUUUAGUGUCGGUGGUGGAAAGUUUUUCGGUGCAGGAUGAGCUCGCGGCCUAUCAGCUUGUUGGUGGGGUAAUGGCCUACCAAGGCGUCGACGGGUAGCCGGCCUGAGAGGGUGGACGGCCACAUUGGGACUGAGACACGGCCCAGACUCCUACGGGAGGCAGCAGUGGGGAAUAUUGCACAAUGGGGGCAAGCCUGAUGCAGCGACGCCGCGUGGGGGAUGAAAACGUUCGGGUUGUAAACUCCUUUCAACCAUGACGAAGCAUUAUGUGACGGUAG